GCCACCGUAACUCAGUUGGUAGAGUAGUUCAUUCGUAAUGAACAAGUCGCUGGUUCGAAUCCAGUCGGUGGCUCUA
This 76-nucleotide transfer RNA is filed under the name bacterium TMED46. RNAcentral describes it as "tRNA-Thr". It matches the Rfam family "tRNA". Rfam says of the family: Transfer RNA (tRNA) molecules are approximately 80 nucleotides in length. The record is from RNAcentral.